RNAcentral lists this ribosomal RNA (750 nucleotides) under Bacillus sp. (in: firmicutes). RNAcentral describes it as "bacterial SSU rRNA". It matches the Rfam family "Bacterial small subunit ribosomal RNA", at positions 105 to 840 of the family's 1533-position model. Lineage: Bacteria; Bacillati; Bacillota; Bacilli; Caryophanales; Bacillaceae. The record is from RNAcentral.
GGUGAGUAACACGUGGGCAACCUGCCUGUAAGACUGGGAUAACUUCGGGAAACCGGAGCUAAUACCGGAUACGUUCUUUCCUCGCAUGAGGAAAGAUGGAAAGACGGUUUCGGCUGUCACUUACAGAUGGGCCCGCGGCGCAUUAGCUAGUUGGUGAGGUAAUGGCUCACCAAGGCCACGAUGCGUAGCCGACCUGAGAGGGUGAUCGGCCACACUGGGACUGAGACACGGCCCAGACUCCUACGGGAGGCAGCAGUAGGGAAUCUUCCGCAAUGGACGAAAGUCUGACGGAGCAACGCCGCGUGAGCGAAGAAGGCCUUCGGGUCGUAAAGCUCUGUUGUUAGGGAAGAACAAGUGCCAGAGUAACUGCUGGCACCUUGACGGUACCUAACCAGAAAGCCACGGCUAACUACGUGCCAGCAGCCGCGGUAAUACGUAGGUGGCAAGCGUUGUCCGGAAUUAUUGGGCGUAAAGCGCGCGCAGGUGGUUCCUUAAGUCUGAUGUGAAAGCCCACGGCUCAACCGUGGAGGGUCAUUGGAAACUGGGGGACUUGAGUGCAGAAGAGGAAAGUGGAAUUCCAAGUGUAGCGGUGAAAUGCGUAGAGAUUUGGAGGAACACCAGUGGCGAAGGCGACUUUCUGGUCUGUAACUGACACUGAGGCGCGAAAGCGUGGGGAGCGAACAGGAUUAGAUACCCUGGUAGUCCACGCCGUAAACGAUGAGUGCUAAGUGUUAGAGGGUUUCCGCCCUU